CUUUAUGGUGGAUCGAAUGGGGAGGCGUAAGCCUGCCGUUUUACCUGUGUUUCACGGUUGACCAACCCCGUUCGGUCUGCCACCCCA
Molecule: non-coding RNA, 87 nt
Filed under: Acinetobacter qingfengensis
Lineage: Bacteria; Pseudomonadati; Pseudomonadota; Gammaproteobacteria; Moraxellales; Moraxellaceae
Source: RNAcentral